UUUUGUUCUGGACAGAAGGAAGUGUUUAUUCCAGAAAUCACCAUGCCAGAAAUCAUCGUUCGGCUUUAUUUAACGCGGAGCUAUUAAAGAAAACUCCAGUCGAUAAAGAGUUCAACCAAAACUCGUAAUAAGGAGGAAGGAGAGAAAAGAAAACUUUAGUCUAACAAGAUGGAAAUCGAAACGAUGUUGGGAGGGUCGAGAAUCUGGAGAUAUCAAUUCUUGACUUAACACUGAACAGCCUGAAAUUCAAUUUAUUGCUCAUUGGCCAACAUCAACAAGCAACAAGGCAACAUCUGACGAUUCUGAUCUUGCCAUGAACGGAAGAGAACACUUGGUGCAACAUUUGGUUAACUUUUGAAGAGAGAGUGAGGAGAUAAUACUUCAAGGAUUUCAUUCCUCCAAUAACUAUGGCAGAUUUGUUUCCGGUUUACCCUCGAGGCUGUUCGAUAGACUUUAUCAAUUGACGGAAAAUGACGAGUGGUUGGCCGCGCUGAAAUUCAAGAUCGAUAAAUUAUAUAAAUUUUAAUAAAUUACAAGUGCAUAUCUGGGCUCCCUUCUUCAGUGGCCCUGUUUCCCUAAAUAACCACUAACCAACGCCCGCCGGUGGUCACUCACUCGCUGCGACAACCAGGAGGAAGGGAGAUGUUUGGUCGAACGGGGACUUGCAAGGCGCAUGAUUCGAUGAAAUCUUUUGGAGGGUCAUGAGUCUAAGCCGGAAGCCUACUAUGAUACACUGCUCUCAUAAUAACUGCUCCUCAGCUCUCUUCGCUCUUUUUCCGGUUUCUCUUAACCAUGGCCGGGUAAUCUCCCUGGUCGAGUCAGUCGGGCAGUGUCUCCCCCUGCUUGACUGGCAGCAGUUUGUAACGGACGGUCUGUUUAAUAAAUUAUUUU
This is a long non-coding RNA of Daphnia pulicaria, 891 nucleotides long. RefSeq lists it as uncharacterized. NCBI's taxonomy places the organism in Eukaryota, Metazoa, Arthropoda, Branchiopoda, Diplostraca, Daphniidae. The transcript has 4 exons. The record is from RefSeq and is a predicted model, not a curated record.